GACGAACGCUGGCGGCGUGCUUAACACAUGCAAGUCGAACGGAAAGGCCCUGCUUUUGUGGGGUGCUCGAGUGGCGCACAGGUGAGUAACACGCGAGUAAACUGCCCUUGACUUUGUGGUAACUUUAGGGAACUGGGGCUCAUACCGGAUAGGAGCUCUUGCUGCAUGGGGGGGGAUGGAAAGUUUCGGCGGUUGGGGCUGGACUCGAGGCUUCUCAGCUUGUUGGUGGGGUAGGGGCUUACCACGGCUUUGAAGGGUAGCCGGCCUGGGAGGGUGACCGGCGACAUGGGUACUGAGGGACGGCCCAGUCUCGUAUGGUAGGCAGCAGGGGGGAAUCUGGCACAAUGGCCGGAAGCCUGAUGCAGCAACGCCGCGUGCGUGAUGACCUCCUUCUGGUUGUAAACCGCUUUCGCCUUUGCUGUAGCGUGAGUGACGGUAAUUGGUAAAGAAGCACCGGCUAACUACGUG
This 468-nucleotide ribosomal RNA is filed under the name uncultured bacterium. RNAcentral's name for it is "partial 16S ribosomal RNA". It matches the Rfam family "Bacterial small subunit ribosomal RNA", at positions 28 to 507 of the family's 1533-position model. The record is from RNAcentral.